Zophobas morio is the source of this 1503-nucleotide long non-coding RNA. RefSeq lists it as uncharacterized. The record is from RefSeq and is a predicted model, not a curated record. NCBI's taxonomy places the organism in Eukaryota, Metazoa, Arthropoda, Insecta, Coleoptera, Tenebrionidae. The transcript has 3 exons.
UUAUUUAUUUUUUAAUGAAUCUUAAAAUUAAUAUUUCAAAUAUGUUGCCGCCUAAAUUAUUUUUUUGUGGAGUAAGAAUUUGAUUUUCGCUGCUAAACACCCGCUCCAAAGGUACGGAAGAAGGAAUUGUUGUGUUACAUUUAAAAAAUAAAUGUUUUGCAGCAGUAUUCAUUCACAUUUAAUUACAAAACUAUGUAAUUUGUGCUAUUUGAAAAAAAUAAUCGUUAUGUAACCUGUAAGUUUUGCGUUUUGCAAUAAAAAAUGUGCCAUAUUUAAUAAUACAAAUACAACCAGCGGACCUAACUGACCCAGGUGGCGUCGAUGCACAGGUAAAAUGUCUGCCCCUACAAUGUAUUCCCCCUCCCCGGUAUUAUUCACUGAAAGUUUAACUUACCGUAAAAUUGUCAAAGUUAUACCUGGCGUUGCUUUAUUCCAUCUCUCCCUCAGUCGACCCCCUCAGUGUUAGUUUCAGUUUAUGCUUUACGAAAUUCAGACGUCCCUCUGUUUUAACGUUCCAUCAUCAAGACGUAGUGUGUGUUUUAUUCGUGUGAACGAGAUGGCCUACACUAAGUUGUUAAGAAAGUGCAAAGAACUGUAAGAAUGUUACAGUGUGGAUAAGGUACAUCCAUACAUGGAAGAAAGUUACUUGCUCAAAAUAUAACGUCUGGAUAGCAUGCAGUAGACGACUUGUUUGUUAAAAUACCGCCUUAGGCUUCACAAGGAUGAAAUUCCCGCAUGGUCACUCAAUACGACAACGAUACUUUCCAUUGUCGGAUGAUGAAGAUGAUGCCGAUGGCGGUGUAUAUAUGUGAAUAUACGAAUCAACGUCUUACCAGUUGAAGAGACACAAUUAGCCAAUAACACGUGACGUCACGCUGUGGCGGGAACUCAGCGUUUGACAAGCGCCGUGAAACUCCAUAAGUGACAAUGUUAACAUUUUCGCAUUUUAUUUAAAAGUGUGGGUAUUUAUCUAGAAAAUAAACACGUGAAUAGCUUCUUUCAUAUUUUUUCUGUGUAUGAGGGUGCUUUUUUUGGCGAUUUCAGUUUAGAAAUACAUAAUAAAAAUACAGAACGCUGUUUUGGUCUGAAUUCCUCGUCACCCAAAAUACAUCCGUGUGUUUUAGGCGGUAAAUCGGAAAUUAAUAUUUUCGUUUGAGGUUAAUGUGACGGGUUUAAGUGAAGGUGUGUAAUUUGUUUUUAAAGUAUGGAUAAUUUAAGUGAUUAUGCACGAUGUCUUUCCGUCAAAGAGAAAAACAGAUAUGUACAAAAGUUAAACAAUUUAAACGGCGUAGAUCCUUAUACAAUGAGUGCAAGUGAUUUUAAUUUGUGUUUAGACGAUGUCCCUACCAUAACAAUGAAUACCAUUCUAUUUUUUUUUAUUUUUGGAAUAAGUAAAAUAACCCACAAUGAAAUUCGUGCAUUCAAAAGUCUAGAGGCAUUUAUUCAGUUUUCUCUUUUUUAAACGACUGUCUUUCAACAUUACAAGUAUUAUGAGUGGAUUUA